UCUUUUUCACCACUGUUCCUUUAGCUUAUCAUUAUUCAUUAAUGACACAUACUUGGUUUUGCUCUCUCAUUGUUUCUUUUUAUAUUUUAUCCUUUAAAUUUUGUUUUCAUUUUUCCUUUUAUGUUGGUGUUUUGCGAUGCCAUUUUUUAUUAUUUAUUCAAUAAAGCUUUACUCUUAAAAAACAGGUAUUUUAAUUUGUAUCGGAAAUUAAAUUGGUGAUUUAUUUAAAA
Molecule: long non-coding RNA, 230 nt
Filed under: Gossypium barbadense (sea-island cotton)
Lineage: Eukaryota; Viridiplantae; Streptophyta; Magnoliopsida; Malvales; Malvaceae
Description: long non-coding RNA (GBAR_LNC017956)
Source: RNAcentral